Molecule: small nucleolar RNA, 101 nt
Organism: Peromyscus leucopus (white-footed mouse)
Lineage: Eukaryota; Metazoa; Chordata; Mammalia; Rodentia; Cricetidae
Product: small nucleolar RNA U13
Exons: 1
Source: RefSeq, a predicted model, not a curated record
AUCUUUUUGUUUUCUAAGUGCGAUGACUGGGUUUUCAUGCUAUUGUGUGAGAUGUGUCUCCUCAAACUUUGUUAUGAUGUCAGCACAUUAUCCAUCUGACA